Molecule: long non-coding RNA, 1071 nt
Filed under: Canis lupus familiaris (dog)
Lineage: Eukaryota; Metazoa; Chordata; Mammalia; Carnivora; Canidae
Description: lncRNA (ENSCAFG00040006157.1)
Source: RNAcentral
AUGCCCGCGGAGUGGCUCUACCGAACCUUCUCGCCCUCUCACCUCCCUCCCGCGGCUCCAGGAGCUCGGCCGCCGGGAGCAGGGCCCCCACCCCCGGGCGGGGGGUUUCCCGGGGAUACCCCGCCCCGCCCCGCCCUCCGGGCCCCGCCCCGGCCCCGCCCCCGGCCCGCCGGCCCCGCCCCGCGGCCGCCGCCAGCAGGGGUCGCGCUGCCCGCCGCGAGCCGCUCAGGCGGGGGUGGGGGAAGCUCCCGCGGCGGGUCGCUUUUCUCCGCUGCUGCUGGUUGGAUCGUUUCAAUAAAAGUCUUUUUUCUCGCUCGCUCGCUCGCUCGCUCGCUCUCCUCCGGGGAACAGGCGGAGGCGUCAAUCCGCAGUCGCCGAGCGAGAAAGCGACGCACACGCAGCGAACGGGAGCGGCCGCCCGCGGUCUCCCGAGCUCCUCCGGGUCCGGCCGCAGAGAAGAAGGAGCCCCGGUCCGGGCGGGCCGCCUCAGCCGAGCGCCGGCACCUCCCUGCCCGGCCUCGCUCCCGCCCGGGCCCCUCCGAGGGGAUUAGUGGGCUGCCCGCGCGGCCCGGCGGCCCGGCGGCCCGGCGGCCCGGGAGCCAUGUUGUCCGGGGGGCUCGGCAACGCGUGAGGCACCCGCGGCCCCUCCCGAAGGCUCCGGACCCGGGCGAGGGCCGGAAGGCGGCAGCGGAGGCCUGCGCCUCGGAGGCGCCGUGGGUCCCCCGCCGGCCGCUGGGACCCGGACCUGCAUCCGGUCGCCGCGGGCGUCGGCGGAGCCGCUCACCCUCCGCGCCUCGCCUGGAGACGCGGCCCCCGCGCUCGCUGGUGAGUUGGCGGCUGGCGACCGCGCGGGGCUCUCCCUGCCGCCCGGCGGACCCUCGCGAGCCCCGCGGGGCGGGAGGGCGGCCGUGGCGGGGCGCCGCGGGCUCAGGCCCGGCCGGGAAGUUGAGAGAGGCAGGCGCGGCCGGGGGGGCUCGCGGGUGCCGGUGGCCCCCGGCCCCGCGCGCGAUCCCCGGGGCGCCGGGGCAUUUCCGGGGCUGGGCUGGGCUGGGCUGGGCUGUGGGGAGGUGA